Long non-coding RNA from Lucilia cuprina (Australian sheep blowfly), 411 nucleotides. RefSeq lists it as uncharacterized. Lineage: Eukaryota; Metazoa; Arthropoda; Insecta; Diptera; Calliphoridae. The record is from RefSeq and is a predicted model, not a curated record. The transcript has 3 exons.
UAAAUAAAAUUAAAUUUAAAAUAUAUAAUAUAAAAAAUUAAAUCAUAAAAUCUUAAAAAUCAAAAAAAUAUUAUUAAAUACUUAAAUAUUAAUUUAAAAAUAAAACACAAUUUUUUUGUAAUUAAAUGUUAAUGGAAUCAUAUGCAGCUUUCUAUAAAUUUUUGCUCUAAUUAAUAAAAAACAAAAUAAAAAAACACCCUCUAUAAUUUUCUAAAGCCGCUAAUAAAACGUGUCUGUCUAUAAAUAUUCAUCUCAACUACCAGCAAAAUAAAUCUAAUAUUUGCAACAGCUAUCAAUAAAAAAACUAAAAUUUUCCAAAUAAAUUAUUAAAUAUUGCACUAAAUUUAAUAAAAACAUAAUCAAACAACAAUACAAAUUUUUACAAAAAAAAAUUUAUAAAUAAACCAAAAA